RNAcentral lists this non-coding RNA (52 nucleotides) under unclassified sequences. RNAcentral's name for it is "Li+-I sequence". It matches the Rfam family "nhaA-I RNA". Rfam says of the family: Acidobacteria, Alphaproteobacteria, Betaproteobacteria and Gammaproteobacteria, Verrucomicrobia, cand. division NC10. Downstream gene The record is from Rfam by way of RNAcentral.
GGGUGCAGGGGUAGACGCUCCUGCAGGUAUUGAGAUGGUCGGGCCGCCAUCC